Molecule: long non-coding RNA, 2689 nt
Organism: Marmota monax (woodchuck)
Lineage: Eukaryota; Metazoa; Chordata; Mammalia; Rodentia; Sciuridae
Exons: 2
Source: RefSeq, a predicted model, not a curated record
AGCAAGGAUCCUCCUAGGAAGGAAAGCACUUGCCUCCAUGCAGAGCCCUCUAGCGGUCGGAGUGAGUAACAGCAAUCAAUGCUGGGGCCACAGUGGGCAAUCCCAAGGGGCUACAGAAAAGGCCACCAAUUUUGUUUCAAUUUGGUAAAAGCUUUGGGGGAGAAAACAACAACAACAAAAAGACCUUAAUGAUGUACAUGUGACAUGAGUGUUUAUGUAUAUGGUUACAUACAACUGCAUCAGAGUGUUAAAUCUCUAUUUUUCACGACUGUGACUUUUUAAUUUACAGUGCAAUUAUGUGCUUGGUGUGCUUGUAAAUCCUAGCAUGAUUUAGGAGAGGGAAAGUGAAGAAAUGCCCUGAGUUAUUUUGGUCUCUCUUCUCCUUCCCAUAUCCCAUGAUGCGUAGGUGCCACCCCAUCACAUUUGCCUGCAGAUCUUUUGAGACUGCUUCCCCCCUCUCUCCUUUGCAUCCCAGUCUCUAGUGCCAGCUGCUGGCUUGAGCUUUUGCAGGGAGAGAGGAGCAGGGUGCAAAGAUGUCAUUGUGAAAAAUCCCCCCUAAUGCUGAGCAUUCUCUCUCCUGCUCAGCAGCAUCAGAUGGCAGUAUUACAGUCCCUGGCACAGAGGUACUUCCCCCAGGGGUUACUAUUUCUGCUCAGCUCUGAGACAGUCUAAUGCACUGAAAUCAUGAUCACAUGUACAGCUUUUGUGUGCUGUUUACCAAAAAAAAAAAAAAGCCCUGAAAGGAAAGUAACUUUGGGGGUUAAUGCAUCUCCUUGUGAGCUCCCAUGUGUCUGAGUAUCAAAUUCCUGCGCAAUUAGGUUCCUUUCGUAGGUUCUGGUGUGUAUCCUGCGCAUGCAUCUCCGCAAUGUAUUUUAUCUCGUUCCUUUUAAAAGACAAUUUGGCAAGAAGGCAGCCUUCUCUCAGGUUCUGUGAGAGUAACUUUGGCUUCUUUAUUUAAAUGAGCUCUUUUAUCAUCCUUAACAUUUCAAGCAAUUACCUGUGGGCAGAGCCCAUGCAUCUGCUGAAAGUAUGUGUCUCUUCUCCACUUUAUUCCUAAAUCAAGCCAGCAAGAUGAAUAGUUUAACUUACUUACAGAUAGCAAAGGGGAGGAAUGUGAAGAGAAGGGGACUGAUACACACUUUGAAGGCAUUUCUGGAAUGAAGGAAUGAAGGAAAGAGAGAGAGAGAGAGAGAGAGAGAGAGAGAGAGAGAGAGAGAGAGAGAGAGAAGCUGAUCCCCAAACACUGUACAAGGACUUUGCACCUCUGGAAAGGAUGAUCCUCGCCUGUGUAAUUUACCUACUACUUCCUGGGUCAGUGUGGAGCCUGGCACCUAGAGAGAGCUUAAUAAAUAUCUGUGCAAUGAGUCAGUUAAUAAAUGCCCACAGCUGAGGCUGAGAAUGUAAUCUUUAACAUUAUGAAAAUGGGGAAUUCUAAUGGGAUACCACAGAUCAUCUUCUGCCCUUGGGAUCAUGUUGCAGAUUUCCUUCAAAAUAGUGGCAGUUUUAAGGACUCUGUGCUCUAAUAAAUCCAGUUUCCUUUCAGCAUUUUAAGGGUCCCUACCGCGAGGCAAUGAACUCCAGAGAUUGCACUGACUCAUUUUUCACAGUAUGACUCCUGUUGAGUGAGGCAGAGGCCCUCCUCCGGCAGGAAGUCUCCCAUGUAGCCUGAGAUGGAGAGAAGACUCCAACAUAUGAGCAAUAACAGAAGCUCCCCAGGAGUGUGCGAGAGAAUGAGCCACUUAGGAAGGCCUUGCCACCUCCGUGGGUGGCUCUGAAACACUUACCACAGCCAGAGGAGGAGGUGCCCAGAGGGGCAGGGGUGUGAAGAGGGUGCUGAGUGGUCUGUCCGCAGCCCCCUGUGGAGAGGGGCUGUAGGUAGCACUCCAUGGUGAGGGGUCAGAUUUUCAGGGCAGGGAAGAGGAGCAGUCCACAGUAAUGGUGGUCAACAGAAGGAACUGGGAGUCUAAAGUCCAGGCACUGGAGAAGAUGAGGAAGGCAGAGACUCCAUGCCUGCAGGAGAAGCAGAGGCCCCGUGACUGACGCUAUGAUUCCAUCUGCCUGCUGGGACUCGAACCUGGAAAACGCAUCCCAGCAGGGGAAAGACGCUGCGAGGCACAGUCGGGACAUAGACGUGCUGGAUCCAGAGGCUGCAGCAAUACCCACCCACCCCCCCAACUCUGAGUCUUUCCAUUUGAGGCCUUUUUUAUGCGCAGGCCAAAGAAGACCCAGUGCCAACAGGUUACAUGGUGAGCACAUGCUCACAAGCAGAUAUUUGCAACCCUGAGUACCUAUGCCGAAUUCGGGUGUUUAUGACCUUGACUGCAUGCUAAAACACAGCUGGUCAGAAGUCUUGUUGGAGGAGCACAGCCAUAGCCAUCUGGGGCUUGCGGAACUGAAGAGGCCUGGGAGACUUCUGGUUUCACCAACUAUGACAUUAACCGUUAUAUUCACCAACCGUCACAUUCCCUGACAUGUUCACGGGGGGGGGGGGGUUCGGUUCCCAUCUUCCAGACAAUGGACAGUCAUAGAGCAAAAGGCUUCCUUCCCCUGUCUCCAGAACUCCUCAGACAUUUUAAAAUACCAAAUAAAAACCCACAAUGCUUGCCCACAAAGUUAUGUUAAGAGUUUUAAAUUUCCAGAAAAUAAAUUAAGCAACAUUUAUUCAAAAUGGAGAGAGUAGACCUGCUGA